RNAcentral lists this ribosomal RNA (497 nucleotides) under uncultured bacterium. RNAcentral's name for it is "partial 16S ribosomal RNA". It matches the Rfam family "Bacterial small subunit ribosomal RNA", at positions 28 to 507 of the family's 1533-position model. The record is from RNAcentral.
GAUGAACGCUGGCGGCGUGCCUAAUACAUGCAAGUCGAGCGAACGGACGAGAAGCUUGCUUCUCUGAUGUUAGCGGCGGACGGGUGAGUAACACGUGGAUAACCUACCUAUAAGACUGGGAUAACUUCGGGAAACCGGAGCUAAUACCGGAUAAUAUUUUGAACCGCAUGGUUCAAAAGUGAAAGACGGUCUUGCUGUCACUUAUAGAUGGAUCCGCGCUGCAUUAGCUAGUUGGUAAGCUAACGGCUUACCAAGGCAACGAUGCAUAGCCGACCUGAGAGGGGGAUCGGCCACACUGGAACUUGGACACGGUCCAGACUCCUACGGGAGGCAGCAGUAGGGAAUCUGCCGCAAUGGGCGAAAGCCUGACGGAGCAACGCCGCGUGAGUUAUGAAGGUCUUCGGAUCGUAAAACUCUGUUAUGAGGGAAGAACAUAUGUGUAAGGAACUGUGCACAUCUUGACGGUACCUAAUCAGAAAGCCACGGCUAACUACGUG